AAUUAACUCUUCAUCCACAUCAAUCAAUCAAACUAAAGGAAAAAAAAAAAGAGCAUGGCAAAGCAAUCAACUUCAUCCACUUCCAAGUUUAAGUUGACUCUCUUGGCAUUUCUGAUGCUCACUAUCGUUGCUCCUACAAUCGGCAGGAUGCAACCAACAACUGAGACAAUCCCAAAAGUUAUGAAAACCUUAAUACAAGAACUAGGAAAGGAACAACUUGGUGCUUAUUACAUGCAGGAAACAAUAAUGGCAGCAAAUCAACAACUCGACUUGGAAGAACCAAAGCUCGCAAUGUUCAUUGAACAAAAUCAACUGAAAUGCACAGGACGCCGAGGAUAUUGUGAUAUAAAUAACCCAAAUUGUUGCGAGGGACUUACUUGUCAACGGAUCAAAUAUCCUGAUACCGCUUGCCUCUAAUGCAAUGGUUCGUUAGCAAGGGUACGGUGACUAAUUAGGCGAAAAUCGAGUUAAAUAAAUAAAUCUCCUAUGUUGAGCGCGACGCAACUAACAACCGGGACAAACCCUGAAGUUAUGAAAGCAAUACUACUACAAGAGCUAGGAAAGGAACAAUUUGCUGCUUAUUACUUGAAGAAAAUGGAAUUGGAAGAAGCAAAGCUAGUCAUGGUUGUCGAACAAAAGCCACUUAAAUGCGAGGGAAAAGGAGGCCCUUGUACUUGGGCUGAGUGUUGUCCUGGUCUUUUAUGUGCCUAUGUUUUUCCUAUAGGGAAAUUUGGCACUUGUGUCGAUCGAUAGAUGGUAGAGUAUAAAACAUGUUCCUGGGCCUCAAUCAUCAGCUUAACAUUUUGGUUGAGUUGGUCCAUUAACAUGAUAUCGAAGUAAAGUCACGGGUUCAAAUCUCAUCCGUGUGGAAUAUUCUCAACAGACUCUUAUUAUGUAGUUAUAUAAUGGGGCUUGAUAGAUCGAGUAUAUAUAUAUAAAACAUGUUCCAAUGUAUCAACCAUCAAUUUAAGCUUUUAAUUGAGAUGUACCUUUAAUAAUAGAUGUAGAUUAUUUUGAAUGUAAGUAGUAUGUUUUAUAUAUGUUGAAUGUAUGUGACCGA
Chenopodium quinoa (quinoa) is the source of this 1060-nucleotide RNA transcript. RefSeq lists it as uncharacterized. Lineage: Eukaryota; Viridiplantae; Streptophyta; Magnoliopsida; Caryophyllales; Amaranthaceae. The transcript is spliced from 3 exons. The record is from RefSeq and is a predicted model, not a curated record.